CCUGAACGCUGGCGGCGUGGCUAAGACAUGCAAGUCGCACGGUGUAGCAAUACACAGUGGCGAACGGGAGAGUAAUGAAUCGCUAACGUACCCCGGACUCUGAGAUAGCUGCCCGAAAGGGCAGGUAAUAUCAGAUAAUAUAACUUACAGGCAUCUGUGAGUUCUCAAAGGUCCGCCGGUCUGGGAGCGGGCGAUUUCGUAUCAGCUAGUUGGUGAGGUAACGGCUCACCAAGGCGACGACGCGUAGCCGGACUGAGAGGUUGGCCGGCCUCAUUGGGACUGAGACACUGCCCAGACUCCUACGGGGGGCUGCAGUAACGAAUCUUCCGCAAUGCACGAAAGUGUGACGGAGCGACGCCGCGUGUGGGACGAAGCCC
Molecule: ribosomal RNA, 377 nt
Filed under: uncultured bacterium
Lineage: Bacteria
Description: bacterial SSU rRNA
Rfam family: Bacterial small subunit ribosomal RNA
Source: RNAcentral